This 402-nucleotide ribosomal RNA is filed under the name uncultured prokaryote. RNAcentral describes it as "bacterial SSU rRNA". It matches the Rfam family "Bacterial small subunit ribosomal RNA", at positions 355 to 774 of the family's 1533-position model. The record is from RNAcentral.
UAGGGAAUAUUAGUAAUGGGCGAAAGCCUGAACUAGCAACACCGCGUGUGCGAAGAAGGCCUUCGGGUUGUCCCGCCCUUUUUGCGCUGAUGCGUCAGGCCGGUACUCUCAGAAUAAGUCUCGGCUAACUACGUGCCAUCAGCCGCGGUAACACGUAGGAGGCAAACGUUAUCCGGAUUUCCUGGGCGUAAAGCGCGUGUAGGUGGUUUGGUAAGUAGAGCGUGAAAGCUCCUGGCUCAACUGGGAGAGGUCGUUCUAAACUGCCGGACUAGAGGAUGGUAGAGGGAGGUGGAAUUCCGGGUGUAGCGGUGGAAUGCGCAGAUAUCCGGAGGAACACCAGUGGCGAAAGCGGCCUCCUGGACGGUAACUGACGCUGAGACGCGAAAGCGUGGGGAGCAAACA